AACGAACGCUGGCGGCAGGCCUAACACAUGCAAGUCGAGCGCACCCUUCGGAGUGAGCGGCGGACGGGUUAGUAACGCGUGGGAACGUGCCCAGAUCUAAGGAAUAGCCACUGGAAACGGAGAGUAAUACCGCAUACGCCCUUCGGGGGAAAGAUUUAUCGGAUUUGGAUCGGCCCGCGUUAGAUUAGGUAGUUGGUGGGGUAACGGCCUACCAAGCCGACGAUCCAUAGCUGGUUUGAGAGGAUGAUCAGCCACACUGGGACUGAGACACGGCCCAGACUCCUACGGGAGGCAGCAGUGGGGAAUCUUAGACAAUGGGGCAACCCUGAUCUAGCCAUGCCGCGUGAGUGACGAAGGCCCUAGGGUCGUAAAGCUCUUUCGCCAGGGAUGAUAAUGACAGUACCUGGUAAAGAACCCCGGCUAAC
RNAcentral lists this ribosomal RNA (425 nucleotides) under uncultured bacterium. Its description in RNAcentral is "bacterial SSU rRNA". It matches the Rfam family "Bacterial small subunit ribosomal RNA", at positions 29 to 501 of the family's 1533-position model. The record is from RNAcentral.